Molecule: transfer RNA, 83 nt
Filed under: Medicago truncatula (barrel medic)
Lineage: Eukaryota; Viridiplantae; Streptophyta; Magnoliopsida; Fabales; Fabaceae
Description: tRNA gene29183
Rfam family: tRNA
About the family: Transfer RNA (tRNA) molecules are approximately 80 nucleotides in length.
Source: RNAcentral
AGAUCUGUAGCUCAAAUGGAAGAGCGCUCAUUGCAUUUUGUUUAAAUGUUUGAGAUGUGUUGGUUCGAAUCCAGCCGGAUCUG